Myodes glareolus (Bank vole) is the source of this 1520-nucleotide non-coding RNA. The record is from RefSeq and is a predicted model, not a curated record. NCBI's taxonomy places the organism in Eukaryota, Metazoa, Chordata, Mammalia, Rodentia, Cricetidae.
UAAAACUGGGAGUGGAAUUCCCUGAUGGGGUGUGUGCUUAGCAAGACCUGGGAGCCUCCCCAAAGAACAAAAGCGUUGAGGACUUCUCACAGCUAAGUGGUCCAACCUCCCAGCACCCAGACUCUACAGUCUUCGCAGAGGAAGCCUGAACUUCCUGCAUGUAGAUUCUCCUUUCUCGACCGACCAUGACUGGCCUCUCUGAUGCUCUGGGUAGAUCUGUGCCUCUCUGUUUAGUCAUCAUCUCUGUGGCGUUGACUUCCCGCUCCCGGUUGUGCCUUCCUCUCUAUUUAUCCUGUUCACUUCACUGCUGUCGGACAGAGCCCAGCUUGUAUGCAGUAAUUCCCCAACAAGAGUGAUAGGAAUACUGGGUACAUGAAAAUGCAUGUCACUUCUGAAUUUCCUACAGUAUUCUCUCCAAUUAGUCAGGGCCAGCCAUAGAGUUGAUAAAACAUCAAACUACCUUUCAAGAGCUUUGUCUUUUUUCUUUUUUUUCCUUUCUUUUUUGGUUUGUUUUUUUAGCACACAGCUGGGAACAGCCUUGAGGUCAUGUUGGAGAAAGAUUUUUCUAAGUUGCAAAAGUUUGUCUUCACUCUCAUACCGGAGUCCAGUUGUGCGGAGUACAGGUAGCACACCGUAUCCUUUCAUGAAGAACUCACACGGGGAACUGUUCCCGGCAGCUCGGGAGGAUAGAGGGAACAAAAGAAUACUGAAGUAACCCAGGUAAGUCGGUAGGUGGCAACUACCUCCCCACCACCAACUAUAGAAACAAAGGAACGCGUUCUUGCUCCUUGAACGUGGAGCUCAACAAAGGGCUCCUGCCGAGCUCCGAGGAGGCUUGCAGCGGCCAAAGCAGCUGGCACCUCAGCGAGCACCAGGAGGCUGGGUCUGGAGCGCUGAAGGGGACUGAGAGGCUGCCCCUAGCGCUGCGGAAAGCACCGCCUCCCGUCGGGAGGACUCUUCGUGUAGAACAACAAGCAGACAGGAAGCCCCGGCUUCCUCCUCCAGUCUCCAGCCUACCCCUGAGCUCCCCACUGCAAACUCUAAUAGGAAGCCUGCUGACAAAAAAGAAACUAGUUUGCGGAGCCCCAGCCCGAGCCUGGCAGGACCUGAAGAGGAGAAGAGCUGGAAUCUUUUUCGAGACAGUCACGCACUCACCAACACCCUAGGGGCUGGCUGACUUCGAGGGCAGGAUUUUACUGCCAGCUAGAGUCGCCACCAGAAAGAGGGAAGAGCUGGUGUAAGGCCUGCUGCUGACUGCUGACGGAAGUGGAACACCCUGCACUACAAUGGCGUCUUAGACAUGAAUGCAGAGGAUGAUGUCCCAUGCAGAACAGAGCUCAGAGAAGGAGGUACCAAGCUUGGCAGAGGACACGGAUCUCAUGAGACCAAAACCAGCCUCGUCAAUUAGACUGGACUGGCUGCAGUGAGCCCCAGGGACCCUCCUCCUCUUCUUCCCCAGUGUUAAGAUUACAAGUGCUUAUCACCCCAGCAUUUUUAAAGAUUUUAUUUAUUUUUAUUGU